This 222-nucleotide long non-coding RNA is filed under the name Elaeis guineensis (African oil palm). RNAcentral's name for it is "long non-coding RNA (EGUI_LNC045388)". Lineage: Eukaryota; Viridiplantae; Streptophyta; Magnoliopsida; Arecales; Arecaceae. The record is from RNAcentral.
GGGGCAUGGUGAUCUAAUUUUUAGACAUAAUCUGAUCAUGUUUUGAUGAGAGAAGAAGAAGAAAAGAAGGUCUUCUCUUAAGGUUUAUUUUAGAACCCUUCUUCUCCAUCAAUCAUGAGAUUUUUCUAUGAAAAAAUUUAGAAAUCAUAAGAUUUAGAAGUUUGAAAAAUAUCUAUAGAAGAAGGUCUCCUUAUGUCCUAGCAUAGAGAUGUUCUCAAGACA